CACGUAGGGACCAAGCGUUGUCCGGAUUUAUUGGGCGUAAAGAGCAUGUAGGCGGCCAGGUAGGUCUGGUGUGAAAACUCGAGGCUCAACCUCGAGAUGUCGGUGGAAACCGCGUGGCUAGAGUCCGGAAGAGGAGAGUGGAAUUCCCGGUGUAGCGGUGAAAUGCGCAGAUAUCGGGAAGAACACCCAUGGCGAAGGCAGCUCUCUGGGACGGUACUGACGCUGAGACGCGAAAGCGUGGGGAGCGAACAGG
RNAcentral lists this ribosomal RNA (253 nucleotides) under uncultured bacterium. RNAcentral's name for it is "partial 16S ribosomal RNA". It matches the Rfam family "Bacterial small subunit ribosomal RNA", at positions 524 to 776 of the family's 1533-position model. The record is from RNAcentral.